This 352-nucleotide ribosomal RNA is filed under the name uncultured bacterium. RNAcentral's name for it is "bacterial SSU rRNA". It matches the Rfam family "Bacterial small subunit ribosomal RNA", at positions 8 to 350 of the family's 1533-position model. The record is from RNAcentral.
AGAGUUUGAUCAUGGCUCAGGAUGAACGCUAGCUACAGGCUUAACACAUGCAAGUCGAGGGGAAACGACAUCGAAAGCUUGCUUUUGAUGGGCGUCGACCGGCGCACGGGUGAGUAACGCGUAUCCAACCUGCCCAUCACUUGGGGAUAACCUUGCGAAAGUAAGACUAAUACCCAGUGAUAUCUCUAGAAGACAUCUGAAAGAGAUUAAAGAUUUAUCGGUGAUGGAUGGGGAUGCGUCUGAUUAGCUUGUCGGCGGGGUAACGGCCACCAAGGCUACGAUCAGUAGGGGUUCUGAGAGGAAGGUCCCCCANAUUGGAACUGAGACACGGUCCAAACUCCUACGGGAGGCA